This 290-nucleotide long non-coding RNA is filed under the name Ananas comosus (pineapple). Its description in RNAcentral is "long non-coding RNA (ACOM_LNC010879)". The record is from RNAcentral. Lineage: Eukaryota; Viridiplantae; Streptophyta; Magnoliopsida; Poales; Bromeliaceae.
UCACCUCACCAACCGUCCCAAGUCUAAGUAACAAAGAAUUUGAUGGUUGGUAUUCGAGAUCUCCAGUUCGAAUCUUAAUUAUACAUGUUCGGCUAAGUUCAUUAUUUUUAAAGAAAUAAACAAAAUGAACGAAGUGGGUAUCAUACUGCCGUUCUCUCUCUCUCUCAAAAAAAAAAAAAAAAAAAACUGCCUCACUUCUCUAAUAAUCACCAUCAACUUUUUCUUUCACCAAAAAAAAUAUUUUUUCCACAAACCAUUUUCAACUGUAACCAAGCACAUGAUAACGCAAC